AGGGUGCAGGGCGGAUGCCUUGGCACUAGGAGCCGAUGAAGGACGUGAUAAGCUGCGAUAAGCUUCGGGGAGUUGCACGUAAACUUUGAUCCGAAGAUUUCCGAAUGAGGAAACUCACUUAGAGUAAUGUCUAAGUAUCAUUAAGUGAAUACAUAGCUUAAUGAGGGGAACUCAGGGAACUGAAACAUCUAAGUACCUGAAGGAAGAGAAAGAAAUUCGAUUCCGUAAGUAGCGGCGAGCGAACGCGGAUUAGCCCAAACCAAUAAAGUUUUCUUUAUUGGGGUUGCGGACAUAUCAUAACGAAGAGGUAUCGUAAUUGAAGAGGUUUGGAAAGACCCACCACAGAAGGUAAUAGUCCUGUAUGUUAAACGAGAAGACUUCAGAUAUGAUCCAGAGUACCACGGGACACGUGAAACCCUGUGGGAAGCAGGAGGGACCACCCUCCAAGGCUAAAUACUACCUAGUGACCGAUAGCGUAUAGUACCGUGAGGGAAAGGUGAAAAGAACCCCGGGAGGGGAGUGAAAUAGAACCUGAAACCCUGCACUUACAAGCUGUGGAAGCACAUUUCUUGUGUGACCGCGUACUUUUUGUAGAACGGGCCAACGAGUUACGUUAAGUAGCAAGGUUAAGCACUUAAGGUGCGGAGCCGUAGCGAAAGCGAGUUUUAACUGAGCGUUCAGUUACUUGACGUAGACCCGAAACCGGGCGACCUACCCAUGAGCAGGAUGAAGCGAAAGUAAAAUUUCGUGGAGGUCCGAACCCACGAGCGUUGAAAAGCUCGGGGAUGACUUGUGGGUAGCGGUGAAAUUCCAAUCGAGCCCGGAGAUAGCUGGUUCUCCCCGAAAUAGCUUUAGGGCUAGCCUCAAGGUGAGAGAUACGGAGGUAGAGCACUGAAUGUCCUAGGGGGUAUUGCACCUACCGAAGACUAUCAAACUCCGAAUGCCGUCAUCUUAUACUUGGGAGUCAGACUGUGGGUGAUAAGAUUCAUAGUCGAAAGGGCAACAGCCCAGAUCGUCAGCUAAGGUCCCUAAAUGUAAGUUAAGUGGUAAAGGAUGUGGGAUUGCACAGACAACCAGGAUGUUGGCUUAGAAGCAGCCACUCAUUCAAAGAGUGCGUAAUAGCUCACUGGUCGAGUGAUCCUGCGCCGAAGAUUUCCGGGGCUAAAACUUACUACCGAAGCUACGGCAUCAGUAAUGAUGGGUAGGGGAGCUUCCCAUACGGGUUGAAGCAUGACCGUAAGGACAUGUGGACAGUAUGGGAGUGAGAAUGUUGGCAUGAGUAGCGAGAUGUGGGUGAGAAUCCCACAGGCCGUAAACCCAAGGUUUCCAGGGGAAGGUUCGUCCGCCCUGGGUUAGUCGGGACCUAAGCUGAGGCCGAAAGGCGUAGGUGAUGGACAACAGGUUGAUAUUCCUGUACUACCGAUAACCGUUUGAGAGAAGGGAUGACACAGUAGGAUAAGCUAAGCACACUGUUGGUUAUGUGUGCCCAAGCAUUGAGGCAGUCAAAGUAGGCAAAUCCGCUUUGAUAAUGCUGGGAUGUGAUGGGGAGCGAAAUUUAGUAGCGAAGUAGCUGAUUUCACACUGUCAAGAAAAGUCUCUAUCGAGGUUAAAGGUACCCGUACCGCAAACCGACACAGGUGGGUGAGGAGAGUAUCCUAAGGCCAGCGAGAGAACUGUUGUUAAGGAACUCGGCAAAAUGACCCCGUAACUUAGGGAUAAGGGGUGCCACCAUCAGGUGGCCGCAGAGAAUAGGCCCAAGCGACUGUUUACCAAAAACAUAGGUUUCUGCUAAGUCGCAAGACGAUGUAUAGGAGCUGACGCCUGCCCGGUGCUGGAAGGUUAAGGGGAUCUGUUAGAGCAAUCGAAGCAGUGAACUUAAGCCCCAGUAAACGGCGGCCGUAACUAUAACGGUCCUAAGGUAGCGAAAUUCCUUGUCGGGUAAGUUCCGACCCGCACGAAAGGCGUAACGAUUUGGGCACUGUCUCAACAACAGACUCGGUGAAAUUGUAAUUCCGGUGAAGAUGCCGGAUACCUGCGACAGGACGGAAAGACCCCAUGGAGCUUUACUGUAGCUUGACAUUGGGUCUUGGUACUACAUGUACAGGAUAGGUGGGAGGCUUUGAAACCAGGACGCCAGUUUUGGCGGAGCCAUCCUUGGGAUACCACCCUUGUAGUACUGGGACUCUAACCAUAGGCCAUGAAUCUGGUCUUGGGACACUGUCAGGUGGGCAGUUUGACUGGGGCGGUCGCCUCCCAAAAGGUAACGGAGGCGCUCAAAGGUUCUCUCAGUACGGUCGGAAAUCGUACGUAGAGUGUAAAGGCAAAAGAGAGCUUGAUUGCAAGACAUACAGGUCGAGCAAGGAUGAAAAUCGGACUUAGUGAUCCGGUGGUUCUGCGUGGAAGGGCCAUCGCUCAACGGAUAAAAGCUACCCUGGGGAUAACAGGCUUAUCUCCCCCAAGAGUCCACAUCGACGGGGAGGUUUGGCACCUCGAUGUCGGCUCAUCACAUCCUGGGGCUGUAGUAGGUCCCAAGGGUUGGGCUGUUCGCCCAUUAAAGUGGUACGCGAGCUGGGUUCAGAACGUCGUGAGACAGUUCGGUCCCUAUCCGUCGCAGGCGUAGGAAAUU
RNAcentral lists this ribosomal RNA (2626 nucleotides) under Clostridioides difficile. RNAcentral describes it as "bacterial LSU rRNA". It matches the Rfam family "Bacterial large subunit ribosomal RNA". Lineage: Bacteria; Bacillati; Bacillota; Clostridia; Peptostreptococcales; Peptostreptococcaceae. The record is from RNAcentral.